UACAUUUUAUUAUAAAAGUAUAAAAAUUUUUGAAAUUUUAGGUAAUAGGUAAUUUCUAUUAAAUGUAU
Molecule: transfer RNA, 68 nt
Filed under: Cordylepherus sp. YY-2021
Lineage: Eukaryota; Metazoa; Arthropoda; Insecta; Coleoptera; Melyridae
Description: tRNA-Gln
Source: RNAcentral